This is a long non-coding RNA of Thalassophryne amazonica, 419 nucleotides long. RefSeq lists it as uncharacterized. The record is from RefSeq and is a predicted model, not a curated record. The transcript has 3 exons. NCBI's taxonomy places the organism in Eukaryota, Metazoa, Chordata, Actinopteri, Batrachoidiformes, Batrachoididae.
GGUAAAAAAAGUUAAAAGCUGCACCAUGCUCUUCACAGCAUGCCUCUCCUGCACAUGCGUCCACUUCAUCUUCUGCUGCUUGUUCACCAGCUCAUUCCGAAGACACAAGUGGCGAGGACAUGGUAACUUUGUGGCCAGGGGUGGCCAUAACAGUUUGGCAAAAGAGAUUACUAAAUGCCAAAAAAAACAAAUGUUAAAGAAUACACAAACACCCUGCUGCGGAUGAUUCACACACCAGAAUUACUACAGUCAUCUUCCCUCACUGGGAAGAAAAGCAACGCUUUUAAAGAUAUGAGUGCCAAAAAGAAGCUGCCUGGUGUAGAGUUCGCAAUUGAUUAUAUCAAAGAACAGACCCGGUCUCCUGAUGCUAAACCAGUCAAAACGGCCAUCACUCACCUGUUGAACACGGAAAGCAAACG